AGUAAUGCCUAGGAAUCUGCCUGGUAGUGGGGGACAACGUUUCGAAAGGAACGCUAAUACCGCAUACGUCCUACGGGAGAAAGCAGGGGACCUUCGGGCCUUGCGCUAUCAGAUGAGCCUAGGUCGGAUUAGCUAGUUGGUGAGGUAAUGGCUCACCAAGGCGACGAUCCGUAACUGGUCUGAGAGGAUGAUCAGUCACACUGGAACUGAGACACGGUCCAGACUCCUACGGGAGGCAGCAGCC
This 244-nucleotide ribosomal RNA is filed under the name uncultured Pseudomonas sp. Its description in RNAcentral is "partial 16S ribosomal RNA". It matches the Rfam family "Bacterial small subunit ribosomal RNA", at positions 109 to 355 of the family's 1533-position model. The record is from RNAcentral. Lineage: Bacteria; Pseudomonadati; Pseudomonadota; Gammaproteobacteria; Pseudomonadales; Pseudomonadaceae.